GGGAGAGGACAACAUGGGAAACUGCCCUGGGGACGAGGAUAGCGUCGGGAAACUGACGGUAAUACUCGAUAAUGUUUGCGGACCAAAGGUGUGAUUCCGCCCCAGGAUGUGCCCAUGCCCCAUUAGCUAGUUGGCGGUGUAAUGGACCACCAAGGCUAUGAUGGGUAGCUGGUGUGAGAGCACGACCAGCCUCACUGGCACUGAGACACUGGCCAGACACCUACGGGUGGCUGCAGUCGAGAAUCUUCGGCAAUGGACGAAAGUCUGACCGAGCGACGCCGCGUGCGGGAUGAAGGCCUUCGGGUUGUAAACCGCUGUCGAGGGGAAUCAAAUGCAAGGGGGUUCUCCCCCCUGCUUGAGAGAACCCUGGAGGAAGGGGAGGCUAAGCUCGUGCCAGCAGCCGCGGUAAGACGAGCUCCCCAAACGUUAUUCGGUAUCACUGGGCUUAAAGAGUUCGUAGGCGGCGAAGUAGGUGAGGUGUGGAAGCCCUCGGCU
RNAcentral lists this ribosomal RNA (495 nucleotides) under uncultured Planctomycetota bacterium. RNAcentral describes it as "bacterial SSU rRNA". It matches the Rfam family "Bacterial small subunit ribosomal RNA", at positions 104 to 609 of the family's 1533-position model. The record is from RNAcentral. Lineage: Bacteria; Pseudomonadati; Planctomycetota.